This 74-nucleotide transfer RNA is filed under the name Candidatus Methanoperedentaceae archaeon HGW-Methanoperedenaceae-1. RNAcentral describes it as "Candidatus Methanoperedenaceae archaeon HGW-Methanoperedenaceae-1 tRNA-Arg". It matches the Rfam family "tRNA". Rfam says of the family: Transfer RNA (tRNA) molecules are approximately 80 nucleotides in length. RNAcentral also lists the same sequence under 2 other names. Lineage: Archaea; Methanobacteriati; Methanobacteriota; Methanomicrobia; Methanosarcinales; Candidatus Methanoperedentaceae. The record is from RNAcentral.
GGGCUCGUAGUAUAGUCUGGAUAUUACGUGGGCCUCCGGAGCCUAUAACCUGGGUUCAAAUCCCAGCGAGCCCG